Long non-coding RNA from Poecile atricapillus (Black-capped chickadee), 1618 nucleotides. RefSeq lists it as uncharacterized. The transcript has 2 exons. NCBI's taxonomy places the organism in Eukaryota, Metazoa, Chordata, Aves, Passeriformes, Paridae. The record is from RefSeq and is a predicted model, not a curated record.
UUCCCAAAAAUUCCCAGGAAUUCCCAGAAAUUCCAAAAAAAAAAAAUCCAGAAAAAUCCAGAAAAAAAUCCCAAAAAAAUCCCAAAAAAUUCACAAAAAUUCACAAAAAUUCCCAAAAUUCCCAACUUUCCCCAAGCUCUGGGAGAGGGGAGCCCUCCUCAGGGAACAGCUCCUGGAAAAUUCCUGGAAAAAAUUCCCAAAUAUUCCCAGAAAUUCCCAGAAAUUCUCAAAAAUCCAAAGAAAUUCACAAAAAAAUCCAGAAAAAUUCCCCAAAAUUCAAAAUCAUUCCAAGAAUCCCAGAAUUCCCAAACAUUCCAGGAGAGGGGAGCCCUCCUCAGGGAACAGCUCUGGAAAACAUUCCCAAAGAAUUCCCAAAAAAUUCCCAGAAAUUCCCCCCCCCCAAAAAAUCACAAAAAUCCAGAAAAAUCCAAAAAUUUUACAAAAAUCCAGAAAAAUUCAUAAAACUUCUUGAAAUUUCACAAAAUUCCCAAAAUUCCCAACAUUUCAGGAGCACAGAGCCAUCCUCAGGGAACAGAUCUGGAAAAUUCCUGGAAAACAUUCCCAAAAAUUCCCAAAAUUUCCCCCAAAUUCCCAAAGAUUCCCAAAAAAAUUCCCAAAAAAUCCAAAAAAAUUCCCAAAAAUUCCCAAAAUUCCAGGAAUGCGACACCCCCCUAAGGGAACAGGUCCCGAAAAACAUUCCCAAAAAUUCCCAAACAUUCCCAAAAAUCCCCAACAAUUCCCAAGAAUUCCCAAAAAUUCACAGAAAAUUUGCAAAAAUCCCCCAAAAUUCCUAAAAAAUCCCCCAAAAUUCCUAAAAAUUUCCAGGAAUUCCAGGAAUUUUUGGGAUCUGAUCCCAAAAAAGAAACCCCACGGAAUUCCAGGAAUUUUUUGUGGUUUGAUCCCAUCCAAUUCCAGAUUUUCCUGACUUUCUGAGAGGAAAUUCCACGGAAUUCCAGGAAUUUUUGGGGUUCAAUCCCAUCAAAUUCCCGUUUUUCCAAACUUCCAAAGAGAAAAUUCCGGGAAUUUUUGGGAUCUGAUCCCAAAGAUGGAAUCCCACAGAAUUCCAGGAAUUUUUAGGAUCUCAUUCCACCUUUUCCAAACUUCUUAAGAGAGAAUUCCAAGGAAUUCCAGGAAUUUUUGGGGUCUGAUCCCAAAGAUGGAAUCCCACAGAAUUCCAGGAUUUUUUUAUGGUUUGAUCCCAUCCAAUUCCAGAUUUUCCCGACUUUCUGAGAGAAAAUUCCACAGAAUUCCUGGAAUUUUUAGGAGUCCAUUCCACCUUUUCCAAACUUCCAAAGAGAAAAUUCUGGGAAUUUUUGGGAUCCCACCCCAAAGAUGGAAUCCCACAGAAUUCCAGGAAUUUUUGAGGUUCAAUCCCAUCAAAUUCCAGCUUUUCCAAACUUCCAAAGAGGAAAUUCAGGGAAUUUUUGGGAUCUGAUCCCAAAGAUGGAAUUCCACGGAAUUCCAGGAAUUUUUGGGGGGGUUCAAUCCCAUCAAAUUCCAGCUUUUCCCAACUUUCCGAGAGAAAAUUCCACAGAAUUCCUGGAAUUUUUAGGAUUCCAUUCCACCUUUUCCAAACUUCCAAAGAGAAAAUUCUGGGAAUUUUUGGGAUCUGAUCCCA